UACGGGGGGAGCAAGCGUUGUUCGGAUUUACUGGGCGUAAAGGGCGCGUAGGCGGCGCAACAAGUCACUUGCGAAAUCUCCGGGCUUAACCCGGAGCGGCCAAGUGAUACUGUCGUGCUAGAGUGCGGAAGGGGCUACUGGAAUUCUCGGUGUAGCGGUGAAAUGCGUAGAUAUCGGAAGGAACAUCAGUGGCGAAGGCGACUUCCUGGACCAAUACUGACGCUCAGGUGCGAAAGCGUGGGGAGCAAACAGG
RNAcentral lists this ribosomal RNA (253 nucleotides) under uncultured bacterium. RNAcentral describes it as "partial 16S ribosomal RNA". It matches the Rfam family "Bacterial small subunit ribosomal RNA", at positions 524 to 776 of the family's 1533-position model. The record is from RNAcentral.